RNAcentral lists this ribosomal RNA (468 nucleotides) under uncultured bacterium. RNAcentral describes it as "partial 16S ribosomal RNA". It matches the Rfam family "Bacterial small subunit ribosomal RNA", at positions 28 to 507 of the family's 1533-position model. The record is from RNAcentral.
GACGAACGCUGGCGGCGUGCUUAACACAUGCAAGUCGAACGGAGAGGCCCUUCUUUUUUGGGUUGCUCGGGUGGCGAACGGAUGGGUAACACGUGAGUAACCUGCCCUUCACUCUGGUAUAACUUCAGGACACGAAGGCUAAGACCGUAUAGGAGCUCCUGCUUCAGGCGCAUGAUUGGCAAGUGUCGGCGGUUGUUUCUGUAGGCGCGGCUUAUCAGGUUGUUGGUGGGGUAGUGGCUUACCAAGGCUUUGACGGGUAGCCGGACUGACAGGGUGACCGGCACCAUUGGGACUGCGAUACGGCACAGCAUCCUACGGGAGGGAGCAGUGGGGAAUAUUCUACAACGGGCGGAAGGCUGAUGAAGUAACGCCGCGCGGGGGAUGAAGCUCUUGGGGUUGUAAAGCGCUUUCGCCUGUGACGAAGCGUGAGUGACGGUAACGGGUAAAGAAGCACCGGCUAACUACGUG